This 21-nucleotide non-coding RNA is filed under the name Caenorhabditis elegans. The record is from RNAcentral. Lineage: Eukaryota; Metazoa; Nematoda; Chromadorea; Rhabditida; Rhabditidae.
UGACGCCACGUUUUUUUCCAU